CCUGCACUUCUGUCAUAGUCCUGGCGAUAAUAUCUGCCGUUGGAUUUUCCCCCUUGAAGGCCAGCCUAAAUUGUAGUUGCCUUUGGAAUUCCUCUUGUUCCAAUCCAUCCGCCGAAUUUCUCUGUUCGGUGAUUGCACUGCCAUCGGUUCGGUAUUCUGCCAUGACCUCUGCAAUGAGAAUUGCUUUUGUUUUAUUGCUUGCUGCAAUACCUCUUGCUUCUAGUAGGUCUUUUAGCGUGGAUCUUUUCAGCUUAGAAUAAUCAAUCUCCAUCCGUACUCCAUUA
This is a non-coding RNA of Pelobates cultripes (western spadefoot toad), 284 nucleotides long. Lineage: Eukaryota; Metazoa; Chordata; Amphibia; Anura; Pelobatidae. The record is from the annotation of a GenBank genome assembly.